AUUGAACGCUGGCGGCAGGCUUAACACAUGCAAGUCGAGCGGGGGAAGGUAGCUUGCUACCGGACCUAGCGGCGGACGGGUGAGUAAUGCUUAGGAAUCUGCCUAUUAGUGGGGGACAACAUCUCGAAAGGGAUGCUAAUACCGCAUACGUCCUACGGGAGAAAGCAGGGGGUCUUCGGACCUUGCGCUAAUAGGUGAGCCUAAGUCGGAUUAGCUAGUUGGUGGGGUAAAGGCCUACCAAGGCGACGAUCUGUAGCGGGUCUGAGAGGAUGAUCCGCCACACUGGGACUGAGACACGGCCCAGACUCCUACGGGAGGCAGCAGUGGGGAAUAUUGGACAAUGGGGGGAACCCUGAUCCAGCCAUGCCGCGUGUGUGAAGAAGGCCUUAUGGUUGUAAAGCACUUUAAGCGAGGAGGAGGCUACUCUAGUUAAUACCUAGGGAUAGUGGACGUUACUCGCAGAAUAAGCACCGGCUAACUCUGUGCCAGCCGCCGCGGUAA
RNAcentral lists this ribosomal RNA (501 nucleotides) under uncultured bacterium. RNAcentral describes it as "partial 16S ribosomal RNA". It matches the Rfam family "Bacterial small subunit ribosomal RNA", at positions 30 to 523 of the family's 1533-position model. The record is from RNAcentral.